Molecule: long non-coding RNA, 1205 nt
Organism: Anguilla anguilla (European eel)
Lineage: Eukaryota; Metazoa; Chordata; Actinopteri; Anguilliformes; Anguillidae
Exons: 3
Source: RefSeq, a predicted model, not a curated record
UACAAGCUGAAAGGCCUCGUUCAGUCAUCAGAGUCAACCUUGGAAUUGCUUUUCCUUGGUGGCGUCAGCUGAAGUUCACCACGAGGAUGAAAGAUAACACGGAGUUAGCCUGUUUUCUGUUGGACCUGAUCAGUUGAGCAUUGGAAAAAAACACACACAGAUGAAAAACAAUGGUCUGAUGACGGGGAAAUGAGCCUGACACCCCCGUGGUAAAGUGAGGAUAGAAGUGCUGAGAUGUACAGCGUUAUUACUCAUUUCCAAAUACAGGAUCUUUACCAGAAAUGAGCCCUGUCUCUCUACAGACGGGGUCCCUGCACUGCCGCACAUGUGACUCCUCGGAUUCAGCCCACUUCUCAAAAAAUUCCAUCUCCCAUUCUUGUUGUUUCUAAUUGUCAUUGUUUUUAAAUCACAGCAGGACAUUUUUUUGCCCAUUUUUGAACAAUACUUCUGUGAACAGUGCAAUCCAAAUCCACCUACAGUGCAGAUCUUCAGCAUUAAUGAAAUAGAACGUGAGCCUGUUUGAAUAAGAUGGACUGAAAAGGGUUUAAUCAUCAGAAUGGAAAAAAGAACCUCAAACUGAAACUCCCUCUUUUCUGGAAACGUUUGCUGUGCAGAAGAGCUACGCAGCGCUGCCUGAACCCUCCGCCUAUUGGCCAUCUGCACUCUGAAUUUUCUCAGCACAGUCAUUGACUUACUUAUUUGCUCUAACCAAUGGAGGAUACAAGGAAAGGAUGCAAGGAAAAGAUAUGAGGAUGGAGGAAUCAAGGCAACAUGUAUUACACAAAUGGAUCAUCCUUGCUCUGUCAAGCAUCAGUUUGAAGGCAUGUCAACGACAGACGCGACAGAUGGGGAGAGGUGGAUCCACAGAUGGAUUGUUUAUACAUCACACAUUUUGAAAAAAUGACUUCCACAAAGGAUGCACACUCCUAACUCCUCUAAGGAGCAUUUAUUGGAUUGGAAUGUCCAUAAAGAUGGUGGACCUCGAUUGAUUUUUGGGCAGACAGGGAAUCAAAUCAUGAUGUAGAAAAGCCCCCAGUGGGGAAAAAGCCCUCAGGCGGUAGCGAGAAAAAAAUGUCCAAUGGGAGGAACUUGGCUACAGAGGGAACUCUGUAUGAGAAGGCUCUACCUCCAAUUAUAAUUUUAUACAUGCUUGAAAUUUGCAAAUAGCCAGCAUCUGGACAAAAGUGGGUAGCACUGUCACCUCA